UCCACUUUUGGCGAUACUCUUUGCAAGUUGC
RNAcentral lists this non-coding RNA (31 nucleotides) under Mus musculus (house mouse). Lineage: Eukaryota; Metazoa; Chordata; Mammalia; Rodentia; Muridae. The record is from RNAcentral.